GUUACUGUAGAAUAUAGAGGUCAUAACAGGGUUACUGUAGAAUAUAGAGGUCAUAACAGGGUUACUGUAGAAUAUAGAGGUCAUAACAGGGUUACUGUAGAAUAUAGAGGUCAUAACAGGGUUACUGUAGAAUAUAGAGGUCAUAACAGGGUUACUGUAGAAUAUAGAGGUCAUAACAGGGUUACUGUAGAAUAUAGAGGUCAUAACAGGGUUACUGUAGAAUAUAGAGGUCAUAACAGGGUUACUGUAGAAUAUAGAGGUCAUAACAGGGUUACUGUAGAAUAUAGAGGUCAUAACAGGGUUACUGUAGAAUAUAGAGGUCAUAACAGGGUUACUGUAGAAUAUAGAGGUCAUAACAGGGUGACUGUAGAAUAUAGAGGUCAUAACAGGGUGACUGUAGAAUAUAGAGGUCAUAACAGGGUGACUGUAGAAUAUAGAGGUCAUAACAGGGUGACUGUAG
Molecule: long non-coding RNA, 460 nt
Organism: Oncorhynchus gorbuscha (pink salmon)
Lineage: Eukaryota; Metazoa; Chordata; Actinopteri; Salmoniformes; Salmonidae
Exons: 3
Source: RefSeq, a predicted model, not a curated record